RNAcentral lists this ribosomal RNA (429 nucleotides) under Bacteroidota bacterium. RNAcentral describes it as "Bacteroidetes bacterium partial 16S ribosomal RNA". It matches the Rfam family "Bacterial small subunit ribosomal RNA", at positions 355 to 776 of the family's 1533-position model. The record is from RNAcentral. Lineage: Bacteria; Pseudomonadati; Bacteroidota.
UAGGGAAUCUUCGGCAAUGGGGGGAACCCUGACCGAGCAACGCCGCGUGAGUGAAGAAGGUUUUCGGAUCGUAAAGCUCUGUUGUUAAGGAAGAACGAGUGUGAGAAUGGAAAGUUCAUGCUGUGACGGUACUUAACCAGAAAGGGACGGCUAACUACGUGCCAGCAGCCGUGGUAAUACGUAGGUCCCGAGCGUUGUCCGGAUUUAUUGGGCGUAAAGCGAGCGCAGGCGGUUAGAAAAGUCUGAAGUGAAAGGCAGUGGCUCAACCAUUGUAGGCUUUGGAAACUGUUUAACUUGAGUGCAGAAGGGGAGAGUGGAAUUCCAUGUGUAGCGGUGAAAUGCGUAGAUAUAUGGAGGAACACCGGUGGCGAAAGCGGCUCUCUGGUCUGUAACUGACGCUGAGGCUCGAAAGCGUGGGUAGCAAACAGG